CAGAUCGAUCCCCCUCCCUCCCCCUCCCUCGCACCCGCGCCCGCUCUCCACCGCCGCCGACGACCCCCAGCCGACAAGGAGAAGCAGCAGCGCGUCCACCUCACUGAGGAGCAGCAGCCUCGUCUACAUCGCCGGAAUCGAGCGCUCCUUCCUCUUCGGUCGCCGGUGCGCCAUCGCCCAACUACUCUGCUCCGACCACUCCGGCCUUCCCCGAGCACGCCUACGGCUCCGUGGUUAGUGGAUUGGUCAGCGGAUCUGAAGGUCAGUGGAUUCCGAGCAGCCAUAUCAAAGAAGAGGCCCUUUUCCUUUUUAUAACUAACAAGAUUAAAGAAAGAAAACCAAGUAAUGAAGGAGAGAGGGGAUGCAUGCAGGGGCAGGACGGUGGUGGCUCAGAAAGUCACUCCAUUGCCCAUGGCCAUGGGGGCAUUUUCAUUGCCCUAGUGCAGGGGCAGGAGGGAAAGAUGCAAAAGCUCGUUUUACCAGCUGUAAGGCAGUGUGCAAUGCAACACCUGCAUUAGUUAGUGGAUGAGGCCACAAGACCAGCAUUAGGGUUUAGGGCUUAAGCCCAGAGGAGAAAGAAAGGGUUGUCCAUAUGAAAAGAUACCAUCAUUAUUGUUUCCAUGAAUGUGGUGUAAUAUAUGUGGCAUGUGUUUGU
This is a long non-coding RNA of Triticum aestivum (bread wheat), 655 nucleotides long. RefSeq lists it as uncharacterized. NCBI's taxonomy places the organism in Eukaryota, Viridiplantae, Streptophyta, Magnoliopsida, Poales, Poaceae. The transcript has 3 exons. The record is from RefSeq and is a predicted model, not a curated record.